UGCAGAAUCCCGUGAACCAUCGAGUCUUUGAACGCAAGUUGCGCCCGAAGCCAUUAGGUUGAGGGCACGCCUGCCUGGGCGUCACGC
RNAcentral lists this ribosomal RNA (87 nucleotides) under Codonanthopsis crassifolia. Its description in RNAcentral is "partial 5.8S ribosomal RNA". It matches the Rfam family "5.8S ribosomal RNA", at positions 73 to 154 of the family's 154-position model. Rfam says of the family: 5.8S ribosomal RNA (5.8S rRNA) is a component of the large subunit of the eukaryotic ribosome. It is transcribed by RNA polymerase I as part of the 45S precursor that also contains 18S and 28S rRNA. Functionally, it is thought that 5.8S rRNA may be involved in ribosome translocation. The record is from RNAcentral. Lineage: Eukaryota; Viridiplantae; Streptophyta; Magnoliopsida; Lamiales; Gesneriaceae.